CAGCGUCUCUCGCUCGCAAAUGCAGGCCCAAUCUUGAUCGGGCGAAAUUCUCACUUGGGAAUUCGCACACACUCCAACCAGGAGCAACUAAGACCCCAAACCACGUCAAGUCCUCGGGUUGGGUCACAACCAUACUCGGUGUACCAUUGGUCACACAAUCUAUCACGUGGCAUUCCACGCUCCCGGGUCUAAGCUCGGACUACCGUCCUGACCAGAACUCUGCCCUACCCGUAGGUACCGGGCCGCUGUCACUCACAGCUGACUGCGCCUGCCUGAUGGGCCCAGGCUCUACAGUCCACAAACGGUCUAGGCACGGGUCGUCCCCAAGCACUACUCGCCGUCGUCGUCCUACACGACAUGCUCUACCGAGUCACACGUAUCACUACCGGCUACUAUGCACCUAAUGCGAGUCACUAGUCCCACGAGUGAUCCAUGGUACGCUUCACACCUAGCAAUGCUCAAGUGCUACUGCCAAUACACUCUCUCAGCUGAAUCCACAUCCGCACUCUACGGGUAUCUACACUCGAGCGCUCUACGCCUCUACAGCGUUCCACACGAAGUCCAGCAUUAGGCAAUCUUG
Molecule: long non-coding RNA, 580 nt
Filed under: Ananas comosus (pineapple)
Lineage: Eukaryota; Viridiplantae; Streptophyta; Magnoliopsida; Poales; Bromeliaceae
Description: long non-coding RNA (ACOM_LNC035417)
Source: RNAcentral